UACGAGGGGGGCGAGCGUUGUUCGGAAUUAUUGGGCGUAAAGGGCGCGUAGGCGGUCGGAUAAGUCUUGUGUGAAAUCUUCGGGCUCAACUCGAAGUCUGCACAGGAAACUAUCUGGCUUGAGUGUGGGAGAGGUGAGUGGAAUUCCUGGUGUAGCGGUGAAAUGCGUAGAUAUCAGGAGGAACACCUGUGGCGAAAGCGGCUCACUGGACCACAACUGACGCUGAGACGCGAAAGCGUGGGGAGCGAACAGG
This 253-nucleotide ribosomal RNA is filed under the name uncultured bacterium. Its description in RNAcentral is "partial 16S ribosomal RNA". It matches the Rfam family "Bacterial small subunit ribosomal RNA", at positions 524 to 776 of the family's 1533-position model. The record is from RNAcentral.